This 482-nucleotide ribosomal RNA is filed under the name uncultured bacterium. RNAcentral's name for it is "partial 16S ribosomal RNA". It matches the Rfam family "Bacterial small subunit ribosomal RNA", at positions 30 to 507 of the family's 1533-position model. The record is from RNAcentral.
AUUGAACGCUGGCGGCAUGCUUUACACAUGCAAGUCGAACGGUAACAGGCCGCAAGGUGCUGACGAGUGGCGAACGGGUGAGUAAUGCAUCGGAACGUGCCCAGUCGUGGGGGAUAACUACUCGAAAGAGUAGCUAAUACCGCAUACGAUCUAUGGAUGAAAGCGGGGGACCGUAAGGCCUCGCGCGAUUGGAGCGGCCGAUGUCAGAUUAGGUAGUUGGUGGGGUAAAGGCUCACCAAGCCAACGAUCUGUAGCUGGUCUGAGAGGACGACCAGCCACACUGGGACUGAGACACGGCCCAGACUCCUACGGGAGGCAGCAGUGGGGAAUUUUGGACAAUGGGCGCAAGCCUGAUCCAGCAAUGCCGCGUGCAGGAAGAAGGCCUUCGGGUUGUAAACUGCUUUUGUAAGGAACGAAACGGCUCUGGUUAAUACCCGGGGCUAAUGACGGUACCGGAAGAAUAAGCACCGGCUAACUACGUG